Molecule: long non-coding RNA, 490 nt
Filed under: Mus pahari (shrew mouse)
Lineage: Eukaryota; Metazoa; Chordata; Mammalia; Rodentia; Muridae
Description: lncRNA (MGP_PahariEiJ_G0005439.1)
Source: RNAcentral
GGGCCACCUGAACUUGACCCUCAGGGCAGAUAUCCUAGAGUUCCAAGGAAGGCCCAGGCUGGACCAAGGAGCCACCUCCAGAGCGCUUCUGUGGUGACACAGAGCACGAAGGGAAGUGGGAGAAGCUGAGAAGGUGAAGCCAGCAAGCAAUGAUGUAACUUGCAGACCCCUGCUGGGCCAACUCACUUCUCUGUGCAGAAGAUCAUCCACUGUUCAGGGUGUAUAGAGCCCCCCUCAGGGCCAAGGAGAGGCUCCAGAAAAAUCACAAACACAAGAAUGUGUGUGAGGUACUGGCUAAAGCUGAGCAUGCUGACCCAGGCAUGGGGCCUUCUCACCGUUCUCUGAAGCCACCCCUUCCCUUAUGCCCUGAGGCUGCUUGCUGAUGCUGGGAGUAAAAGAAAUGACUCCUGCCCCUCUGUCUCUGUCUCUGUCUCUGUCUCUGUCUCUGUCUCUGUCUCUGUCUUUCUCCCUCUCUCUCCUCCAUCCAUCU